Long non-coding RNA from Panicum virgatum (switchgrass), 2463 nucleotides. RefSeq lists it as uncharacterized. Lineage: Eukaryota; Viridiplantae; Streptophyta; Magnoliopsida; Poales; Poaceae. The transcript has 7 exons. The record is from RefSeq and is a predicted model, not a curated record.
UAUUUUUGGGAGCUGAACGUCAAUCAAUCCACCACGUCCAUUCCGCUCUCGACCCGCACCGCCCCGCUCCGUGCCCAGGGCCGCGCCGUCUCUCCGUCCCCGGCGUCGUGCCGACGAUGCCUCCUCCCUGACGACGCCGCCUCCCCCCGAUGCCCUCCGCCCCAACUCGCGGCCCUCGACCCCAACGCGCGGUGCCGCUCUGCCCUGCAGGAGGCCAGCGAACGGCGGCCCCGUAGGCGCUCCAUGGCGGGUCCGCGCGCCGCACAGGGGCUACACAGCGGGCGGCGGCGGGCCGGUGCCGCCGGCGCGCUGCUCCGCCUCCGCGAGGCGCGGGUGGACGGACCUCCAGUUCUUCGCCAGACUGAAGGUGAAGAUGAGAGCCCAAUGCUCAAGCCUAAAGGUCACCCUUCUCUGGCUUUCAUCUAUCUAGGCUUGUCAUCAACCAGCUGAAAUUCUAACACAAUAAGCACAAAAGAAGUCUGUUGGGAGCAUCAGCGCAGGGAGGGGACGAGAUUAAUUACCUGAUGAACUUCUUGACUGUGACACAAUCUUGUAUCAACUGGUGCCAUGCUGGGCUUUCAUUUAUGGGUUGUGCGAACAGUUAUUUGAAAUCUCUUUUUUUGGAUGUGUCAUAAUCAAUAAUGAAAUGAUCAGGUUCAGCAUCAAGGAGCCGAACAUGAUGAUGGUUGAUUUGCAGAACUGGCUAGAGAGGAGCAUUCAAGUUAUAGUCGAUACUGACGGUGAACAGAUUUUGGGGCUUGGAGUUCUUGAUGUCAUGUAGCAUCUUCUUCUAAAUAUUGUUCAUUGAUGAGUUCAUCCAUCAGCUAUAAGCAGUCCAUAUCCAUCGACUUCUUGAGCUGUUCGUCGAUCCGCCAACUAGCUGCUGAUUCACACGUUGUGUCCCCUUCAGGUAUUACAGUUGCUUCAUCGAUUCAUCGAUUUUGACUCAAAAAGUGGAGGGUACAUCUGAAACAUUUGCAAAAGAAGCUUUGAUUUGUACUGCAAGGAUCGACGAAGCAACAGUCGGCAAUAUAAAUUUGUCCACAUCAGGUGUUACUGUUCCUUCAUCGGUCUUGACUUGGCAAGUGGAUGGUACCGAUACUGGGAAAUCUUUGAUUAACGAUCCUAAUUACCAGACCAUUUUUAUCACACUGACUAUGAAUUAUGCGAUGAAAAGUCAAUAUUCCAUAGUCGAUGAAGGUAAUUACAUGUAGUAUUUGCAAUAUGUUCUCCUCAUGUCGACCAAAUUCAUUGAAUCUUUGAAUUUAACAUAUUUUGUAUUUUUUUAUACGCGGAUAAUGGUAAUGAGAAGGAGAUUAAGAGGUUUAGGGAUAGGUUGCAUUAUGCAAAUAUAUCCGAUAUUGCUAAGAAGGAAAUGAUCAACAAGAAGAAUAUGAAUCGUAGUGUCUGGAAAGGAAGUGUCAUCAAGUCACUUAAAAGUAAGAUAUUUUAUCAAGUUGGGUUGCUAGCAUCCGGACAAUCAAUAGUUACGAAAGAUUGCAGUGGUCCGGUUACAAGGAGUGCAGUAAAAGCUGACUCCGUUAUCUGGGAGCAUGAUGACACGGACGAUGUGCAAGAGGGUUAUUAUUUAUUCAUCAAAUUUUUAUAAAAACAUGUUUUAUAAAAAUAGUAAACAUUUCAUCUGCAGUGUUUCUGCAGUGCUAACCGCUGCUUGCGUAGCUUUUUUUUUUGUUACUGUAUGGGCGUGCUCACAUGCAUUUUGUGAAAUUCCCUUUUGAUCAAUGAUUGUACCGGGAAAACAGAUUCUCUGUGACUAAUUGAAAAAUGUGAGGUGCGAUGAGCACAGAUGAGGUCAGCGAAGGACUGGGAUUGCAUGAUCUCAGGAACAGAACAUGGCACAUACAGGGGACCUGUGCACUCCGUUUUGAGGGCCUAUGUGAUGGCCUUGACUGGCUUGCAUCCACCCUGAAGUAGCUGCAAGAAUCAGGCCAUGCAACUUCAGUUGCUGGCCCUUCCAUCUAAUUCAACAAAAGGUUCUAUAACAUUCUGAGUUCUUUUUUAUCUUUGGUAACUAAGAGAUGAACAUUGGCCAUUUUCUUUGCUGUCACCUGGCAACAACUUAUUGCAAGUCCAAGUGAACUCGGUGCCUCAACCAAUUGACACCUCAUGCCGCGGCGGCCUGUUGAUCUGCUAAAAGCCCACAGGAGCUCCAGGAUAUGGUGUGGCUGCCAUGUGCCCACAGAUGGAAUUCGUUUGCUGCAUAUGAGCCAAUCCACGCUGCGUACCGAAAAAACUUGGAACAAAAACCUUGUUGUAUUUCAGUUCACUCAGCGUAGAAUACUCAUGUCGUCUUUCCUUAUACUGUUGGAUUUCUUUGUAAGUUUCAAGAUUGUUGCCAAAACAACUUAAAUUAAAUGGCCUAAGUCCCUGUGUGGCAGAGCUCGAGCUGUCGAGGUUAAUUGGAUAUUUUACUUGGUAAUAUGGUUUCAAGUUACAAGUGUA